RNAcentral lists this long non-coding RNA (1063 nucleotides) under Brassica napus (rape). RNAcentral's name for it is "long non-coding RNA (BNAP_LNC015317)". The record is from RNAcentral. Lineage: Eukaryota; Viridiplantae; Streptophyta; Magnoliopsida; Brassicales; Brassicaceae.
GUUAAACUAUUUUAAAAGCAAAGAAGAUUCUGCUGCUGUUGGGAACUUAUUUAGGUUUGUUGCUUACAAGAUUUUCAUGCAUAAUAAUUAUUGAGAGUGGCUAUGGAGAACCGGUCUGGUUCAGUAUACUCGCAGUUGAGUGAAGGCGAUAAGGAUGAAGUCGGUUGGAGAUAAGCUACAAAGAUUAUGAUAAGGACUCGAUAGAUUGUGUGUAAUCCUUGUAAAGAAUCUUUAGAGUAUCUUGUAACAAGUAUAUAUGCAUGUAACAUAACCGUCGAAUAUACACAGUUGAGUUCAUCAUAUUCUCUCUUAGUUUACAAUAAUUUCUUGUUUUGGUAAUAACCAUUUUCGAUAGUUUAUCAAUUAUCACUGAGUUAGCAUCACUCAUGUUCUUAUAUUUCCCUUCAGGAGGUAAAGAUUGAUUCUUGGAGGGUGUUUUGUAUUUUUUUGUUACUGAUGUCAGGUGAAACUUCAGAAACAUAAUUACAGAUGUGCAUGGGCUCUCAAUACAAAAACAGGCUACCUUGUGCUUCAAGGAUCCUGCAGACUGAAGGAGUAUAUUUCCCUUCACUCUUGUUAUAUCUCUCCUUGAGAAAUAUAAUAAGAUCCAUCAUCACAUGAUCGGCUAGAUACAUGUUGUUCUUGAGGGUAAGGCCAAAUGAUCUUUCACUGUAAGAUAGUUACAACAGUCCUCUUGAUUGUGCUGUUCUGACCGUUAAAAACAAGGGGUGAGAAACUCUCGUUCCUAAAAUGUUCUACUUAGAGUUGAACAUACAGGUUGUUGGAGAUGCUGUCUUUUUACCGUGUUGGAGAUGCUGUCUUUUUACCGUGGAGGGUUCUAAUCCGAAAGGUGGUCUACUUGGUUGACAUGGGGAUAAGUGUUUUCUGUUGUCUCGGAACUUGAUGAGAUUUCUUGUAAUAGAACUACAGAUCUCAAGAAUCAAAAGUUUCUUCCAAAUUAUCAAAUAAAAAAAAAAGAGUUUUUUAGCUUGUCUCCUCAUUGUUGAUUGCAAGACAUAUAAAGAGACCCUGAUCUAGUUCACGAUCUUGGCUUGAAUAAACA